CCUACGGGAGGCAGCAGUGGGGAAUAGUGGGCAAUGGGCGCAAGCCUGACCCAGCAACGCCGCGUGAAGGAAGAAGGCUCUCGGGUUGUAAACUUCGUUUAUCAGGGACGAAGCAAGUGACGGUACCUGAUGAAUAAGCCACGGCUAACUACGGGCCAGCAGCCGCGGUACUACGUAGGUGGCAAGCGUUAGCCGGAUUUACUGGGUGUAAAGGGCGUGUAGGCGGGAAAGCAAGUCAGAUGUGAAAACCAUGGGCUCAACCUGUGGCCUGCAUUUGAAACUGUUUUUCUUGAGUACUGGAGAGGCAGCCGUCAUUCCUAGUGUAGCGGUGACAUUCGUAGAUAUUAGGAGGCACACCAGUGGCGCAGGCGGUCUGCUGGACAGCACCUGACGCUGAGGCGCGAAAGCGUGUGGAGCAAACAGGAUUAGAUACCCGUGUAGUC
This 443-nucleotide ribosomal RNA is filed under the name uncultured bacterium. RNAcentral describes it as "partial 16S ribosomal RNA". It matches the Rfam family "Bacterial small subunit ribosomal RNA", at positions 338 to 795 of the family's 1533-position model. The record is from RNAcentral.